Molecule: ribosomal RNA, 271 nt
Filed under: Clostridioides difficile
Lineage: Bacteria; Bacillati; Bacillota; Clostridia; Peptostreptococcales; Peptostreptococcaceae
Description: partial 16S ribosomal RNA
Rfam family: Bacterial small subunit ribosomal RNA
Source: RNAcentral
AAAACUCUGUCCUCAAGGAAGAUAAUGACGGUACUUGAGGAGGAAGCCCCGGCUAACUACGUGCCAGCAGCCGCGGUAAUACGUAGGGGGCUAGCGUUAUCCGGAUUUACUGGGCGGAAAGGGUGCGUAGGCGGUCUUUCAAGUCAGGAGUGAAAGGCUACGGCUCAACCGUAGUAAGCUCUUGAAACUGGGAGACUUGAGUGCAGGAGAGGAGAGUGGAAUUCCUAGUGUAGCGGUGAAAUGCGUAGAUAUUAGGAGGAACACCAGUUGC